CUUCGGCUGCUAGGUUAGCUACCACUUUUACUGCAUGAAUUUGUGUAUUGGCAUCUUCAGACUCGAGCAAUGACAAAAUCUUUUGCAAUCCAACUUGUUCAAAAAGUGUGGCCAUUGGUGCCUUUUGCCCAUUUGCAGAGUCUUUAAACUGAGAAUGCCUCAUUUGAGAUGCAAAAGAAUCUAAACCAGCAAAAGCAUUUCCAGAUCCACCUCUGUCAAGAUGUCGUCUUGUCUGAUCAGCUUCAACAGUUAAUUGCAAUAACUGACUUUGUAGAAUCAA
This 280-nucleotide unclassified non-coding RNA is filed under the name Hevea brasiliensis (rubber tree). The record is from RNAcentral. Lineage: Eukaryota; Viridiplantae; Streptophyta; Magnoliopsida; Malpighiales; Euphorbiaceae.